Long non-coding RNA from Carassius auratus (goldfish), 521 nucleotides. RefSeq lists it as uncharacterized. The transcript is spliced from 3 exons. NCBI's taxonomy places the organism in Eukaryota, Metazoa, Chordata, Actinopteri, Cypriniformes, Cyprinidae. The record is from RefSeq and is a predicted model, not a curated record.
AACACUUUCACCAGACAGCAAACAGGAGGAGCGAGGCCACUGUCACAUGCGUCAGCAAGCUCACUCUUUUACCGACACGUUCUUGAAUUCAGAAUGAACACUACAUUAUGAUGUUGUAAGUGACUGGUCUCAGUGGGACUCCGGCAAAGCAUUGCUAUUCAGGAAUGUAAUACGGCAAAGGAACCCUCAAAAAAUUAUCCCAAACAGUCCACACACGGCUCAGACUUAGACUGGGCUUAAAGUCUUUUCCACCCUGGUUUUGCCAGGAAAUGUAGUGGCAUGGAUCCACGCAGGCAAUUGGGCUCUGACCACUGACGGACAGCAGCCAAGUAAAAUACCAGUAAAGAGAAUGACGGUCGGAGGACCUCAAUUAAAUGGGUUUGCUCAUGUGCAGCACUUGCCAAAAGGACUCAAGCUAUAAUUUGAAUUAUUAUUAUUUUUUUUUCAUUCAUAGUGAUGGACAAAGCCACAAAGCAUGGGGAAAGUACGGUGAAAGUCUGAAUGGUGCCAGAUGGGUGAGA